Molecule: ribosomal RNA, 397 nt
Filed under: uncultured bacterium
Lineage: Bacteria
Description: partial 16S ribosomal RNA
Rfam family: Bacterial small subunit ribosomal RNA
Source: RNAcentral
AUACGAAGGGUGCAAGCGUUACUCGGAAUUACUGGGCGUAAAGCGUGCGUAGGUGGUUGUUUAAGUCUGUCGUGAAAGCCCUGGGCUCAACCUGGGAAUGGCGAUGGAAACUGGGCGACUAGAGUGUGGCAGAGGGAAGUGGAAUUCCUGGUGUAGCAGUGAAAUGCGUAGAGAUCAGGAGGAACAUCCGUGGCGAAGGCGACUGCCUGGGCCAACACUGACACUGAGGCACGAAAGCGUGGGGAGCAAACAGGAUUAGAUACCCUGGUAGUCCACGCCCUAAACGAUGCGAACUGGAUGUUGGGUGCAAUUUGGCACGCAGUAUCGAAGCUAACGCGUUAAGUUCGCCGCCUGGGGAGUACGGUCGCAAGACUGAAACUCAAAUGAAUUGACGGGG